Molecule: unclassified non-coding RNA, 222 nt
Filed under: soil metagenome
Description: partial internal transcribed spacer 1
Source: RNAcentral
CCCGAAACAAACAAAAAAGGCUCGGCCGCUCGUAUCCUUGUGAGCGAGCGGUGAAUCCUUCUGGCCGACUCAAACUUGAAAUUAUGGUUCGAGUCUGGCGUCCAAGUCUUCCUUGCUCCGUUCGCGGAGUGAAGGGGAGCACCGCAAACAAAAAUUUUGUAAACUAAGAAAAAUUUUGAAAUGAAGCAAUAAAACAAAGACAAAAAGACGAAAAUAAAAAAC